Long non-coding RNA from Teleopsis dalmanni, 741 nucleotides. RefSeq lists it as uncharacterized. The transcript is spliced from 5 exons. Lineage: Eukaryota; Metazoa; Arthropoda; Insecta; Diptera; Diopsidae. The record is from RefSeq and is a predicted model, not a curated record.
GGGCAAAAAUCAGUGUCCAUCGAUAUGCGCAAACAGUUGAACAGGGCUAUAUUAAGUUGCCACAUUUGUAACGUCACCCAUCAGGUAAAAAUUAAUUACUUGAGCGAGCCCAUAGACGUUUACUGCGAAUGGUGCGAUGGGCUCCAAUCAAAUUCAGAUUCAUAACUUACACUCAAGCCAUAAGUACUGAGGAAAAUCAUUGUCACCUGAUUUUUUCCAACUAAACUGAGUAAUGGAAGGUGUUUAUGGCUUUAUAAUAUAAUAAACAAAAAAAAAAAUACUCAAAUGUUACCUUCUAGGAACAUAAGAAUAUGCAAAAAAAUUAAAAAAAAAACAAAAAAAAAUAUGUACAACAUCAUACAACAAUAUAUUGAAUAGAAGCAGUAAAUGAAUAAAUUUAUUUCCAAUAAGGAUACUAUUACACAGACGUUCGUUUUUGGUACUUCAAACGGCUGACUACAACAGACAAUAUUAAAGAGUUUAUAUAUAUAUGGACAACUCUCUACCUAUUAUAGACAACAUUACGAAUACAUGGAAUAAUCUGAUGUCGCCGGUUAUAAACUCUUUUACUUGCAAAAUUUUUCUGUCAUAGUACCAAGGAAGUGAAUCUAUCUAUAAUAUUUCUUCAUUAACUAUGUAUAUAGUUUCAGUGCUUGCUUUAUUUCAAUCGAAUUAUUUUUUACCAUCAUAUCUGACAUUAAGAUUUUUAUAACAUUUUUAAAAACCAUUUUUAAACUACAA